This 253-nucleotide ribosomal RNA is filed under the name uncultured bacterium. Its description in RNAcentral is "partial 16S ribosomal RNA". It matches the Rfam family "Bacterial small subunit ribosomal RNA", at positions 524 to 776 of the family's 1533-position model. The record is from RNAcentral.
UACAGGGGGUGCAAACGUUGUUCGGAAUUACUGGGCGUAAAGGGCGCGUAGGCGGCCUUCUAAGUCGAACGUGAAAUCCCCGGGCUCAACCCGGGAACUGCGUCCGAUACUGGGAGGCUUGAAUCCGGGAGAGGGAUGUGGAAUUCCAGGUGUAGCGGUGAAAUGCGUAGAUAUCUGGAGGAACACCGGUGGCGAAGGCGGCAUCCUGGACCGGUAUUGACGCUGAGGCGCGAAAGCCAGGGGAGCAAACGGG